Molecule: ribosomal RNA, 250 nt
Filed under: uncultured bacterium
Lineage: Bacteria
Description: partial 16S ribosomal RNA
Rfam family: Bacterial small subunit ribosomal RNA
Source: RNAcentral
UAAGGAAUAUUGGUCAAUGGACGGAAGUCUGAACCAGCCAUCCCGCGUGCAGGAUGAAGGUCCUAUGGAUUGUAAACUGCUUUUAGCAGAGACGAAGACCCAUCAUUUAUGAUGGAGUGACGGUAUCUGCGGAAUAAGCACCGGCUAACUCCGUGCCAGCAGCCGCGGUAAUACGGAGGGUGCAAGCGUUAUCCGGAAUCACUGGGUUUAAAGGGUGCGUAGGCGGAGAAUUAAGUCAGUGGUGAAAUCC